Gopherus evgoodei (Goodes thornscrub tortoise) is the source of this 195-nucleotide small nuclear RNA. Its record names the gene U2. It matches the Rfam family "U2 spliceosomal RNA". From Rfam's summary of the family: U2 is a small nuclear RNA (snRNA) component of the spliceosome (involved in pre-mRNA splicing). Complementary binding between U2 snRNA (in an area lying towards the 5' end but 3' to hairpin I) and the branchpoint sequence (BPS) of the intron results the bulging out of an unpaired adenosine, on the BPS, which initiates a nucleophilic attack at the intronic 5' splice site, thus starting the first of two transesterification reactions that mediate splicing. Lineage: Eukaryota; Metazoa; Chordata; Testudines; Testudinidae. The record is from Ensembl.
AUUUAUUUUUAAACACUCUCUAAUAAACUUUUAAAUCUGUAUUUGUUCUUAUCAGUUGAAUAUCUGAUAUGUCCUUAAUUUAAGGACUGUAUAUUCCGUUGGUUUUCCAAACAGGGGGCUGGACUAGGAGCUUGCUGUGUCCACCCCAUACAUUGACCUCAUAUUGCAGUGUCUCACAAGAUUGAUGCAUCUCCU